ACUCAAAUGAAUUGACGGGGACCCGCACAAGCGGUGGAUUAUGUGGAUUAAUUCGAUGCAACGCGAAAAACCUUACCUACCCUUGACAUGCUAGGAAGCUCGCAGAGAUGUGAGUGUGCCCGAAAGGGAACCUAGACACAGGUGCUGCAUGGCUGUCGUCAGCUCGUGUCGUGAGAUGUUGGGUUAAGUCCCGCAACGAGCGCAACCCUUAUCAUUAGUUGCUACAUUUAGUUGGGCACUCUAAUGAGACUGCCGGUGACAAACCGGAGGAAGGUGGGGAUGACGUCAAGUCCUCAUGGCCCUUAUGGGUAGGGCCUCACACGUAAUACAAUGGCCGGUACAGAGGGCUGCCAACCCGCGAGGGGGAGCUAAUCUCAGAAAGCCGGUCGUAGUCCGGAUUGUUCUCUGCAACUCGAGAGCAUGAAGUUGGAAUCGCUAGUAAUCGCGGAUCAGCAUGUCGCGGUGAAUACGUUCCCGGGUCUUGUACACACCGCCCGU
This 498-nucleotide ribosomal RNA is filed under the name uncultured bacterium. RNAcentral's name for it is "partial 16S ribosomal RNA". It matches the Rfam family "Bacterial small subunit ribosomal RNA", at positions 899 to 1397 of the family's 1533-position model. The record is from RNAcentral.